RNAcentral lists this non-coding RNA (155 nucleotides) under Olsenella sp. HMSC062G07. RNAcentral's name for it is "Bacterial large subunit ribosomal RNA". It matches the Rfam family "Bacterial large subunit ribosomal RNA", at positions 1 to 155 of the family's 2925-position model. Lineage: Bacteria; Bacillati; Actinomycetota; Coriobacteriia; Coriobacteriales; Atopobiaceae. The record is from Rfam by way of RNAcentral.
AGAGAAGAUGGUACGUGCGCACGGUGGAUGCCUAGGCACAGGAAGCCGACGAAGGACGUGACAAGCUGCGAUAAGCCGCGGUGAGGGGCACAUGCCCGACGACCCGCGGAUCUCCGAAUGGGCGAACCCGGCGGGGCCCAUGCCCCGCCGCCGCC